GGAGCCAAGACUCGGGUUAGAACGGUUGGAGGAGACUCGGAACAUUUCCCAGUUGAGAUGGGGUUGCACCAGGGAUCAGUCCUUAGCCCUUUUCUAUUUGCUUUGGUGAUGGACGAAUUGACGCAGUAUAUUCAGGAGAGGGUCCCAUGGUGUAUGUUAUUUGCGGAUGACAUAGUACUGAUUGAUGAGACGCGGGACAGAGUUAAUGCGCGGUUGGAGGUGUGGAGACAAACGCUGGAGUCCAAAGGGUUCAGGUUGAGUAGGACCAAAACAGAAUAUUUGGGGUGCAAAUUCAGUGAUGCAUUGGAUGAGGCAGAUGUGGAUGUGAGACUUGCCACACAGAUCAUUUAAGAAAGAAAGUUUUAAGUAUCUUGGGUCUGUAAUCUAAGGGAAGCCAUUCAUCUUAUGCGAAGACUGGUAGAAAAAUAAAGAGAAAGGAAGAGGGACCUACAUAUGGUGUUCAUUGACCUUGAAAAGGCCUAUGACAAAGUACCGAGGAAUGUCCUCUGAAGGUGCUUGGAGGCUAAAGGUGUCCCGAUGAUUUAUAUUAGGGCGAUAAAGGACAUGUACGGUGGAGCCAAGACUCGGGUUAGAACGGUUGGAGGAGACUCGGAACAUUUCCCAGUUGAGAUGGGGCUGGACCAAGGAUCAGUCCUUAGCCCUUUUCUAUUUGCUUUGGUGAUGGAUGAGUUGACGCGGUCUAUUCAGGAGAAGGUCCCAUGGUGUAUGUUAUUUGCGGAUGACAUAGUACUGAUUGAUGAGACGCGGGACAGAGUUAAUGCGAGGUUGGAGGUGUGGAGACAAACGCUGGAGUCCAAAGGGUUCAGGUUGAGUAGGACCAAAUCAGAAUAUUUGGGGUG
RNAcentral lists this long non-coding RNA (860 nucleotides) under Solanum tuberosum (potato). RNAcentral's name for it is "long non-coding RNA (STUB_LNC001414)". Lineage: Eukaryota; Viridiplantae; Streptophyta; Magnoliopsida; Solanales; Solanaceae. The record is from RNAcentral.